CCUACGGGGGGCAGCAGUGGGGAAUAUUGGACAAUGGGCGAAAGCCUGAUCCAGCCAUGCCGCGUGUGUGAAGAAGGCCUUCGGGUUGUAAAGCACUUUCAGUGGGGAAGAAAGCCUUGGGGCUAAUACCCUCGAGGAAGGACAUCACCCACAGAAUAAGCACCGGCUAACUCCGUGCCAGCAGCCGCGGUAAUACGGAGGGUGCGAGCGUUAAUCGGAAUUACUGGGCGUAAAGCGCGCGUAGGCGGUCUGAUAAGCCGGUUGUGAAAGCCCCGGGCUCAACCUGGGAACGGCAUCCGGAACUGUCAGGCUAGAGUGCAGGAGAGGAAGGUAGAAUUCCCUGUGUAGCGGUGAAAUGCGUAGAGAUCGGGAGGAAUACCAGUGGCGAAGGCGGCCUUCUGGACUGACACUGACGCUGAGGUGCGAAAGCGUGGGUAGCAAACAGGAUUAGAUACCCGAGUAGUC
Molecule: ribosomal RNA, 465 nt
Filed under: Vreelandella stevensii
Lineage: Bacteria; Pseudomonadati; Pseudomonadota; Gammaproteobacteria; Oceanospirillales; Halomonadaceae
Description: partial 16S ribosomal RNA
Rfam family: Bacterial small subunit ribosomal RNA
Source: RNAcentral